RNAcentral lists this ribosomal RNA (465 nucleotides) under uncultured bacterium. RNAcentral describes it as "bacterial SSU rRNA". It matches the Rfam family "Bacterial small subunit ribosomal RNA", at positions 28 to 524 of the family's 1533-position model. The record is from RNAcentral.
GAUGAACGCUGGCGGAGUGCCUAACACAUGCAAGUCGAGCGGCAGCGCGAGUAGUUUACUACUUGGCGGCGAGCGGCGGACGGCUGAGUAACGCGUGGGAACAUGCCCCAAAGUGAGGAAUAACUGCCCGAAAGGGUAGCUAAUGCCGCAUACGAUCUUCGGAUUAAAGGAUUUAUCCGCUUUGGGAGUGGCCUGCGUACGAUUAGAUAGUUGGUGAGGUAAUGGCUCACCAAGUCUACGAUCGUUAACUGGUUUGAGAGGAUGAUCAGUCAGACUGGAACUGAGACACGGUCCAGACUCCUACGGGAGGCAGCAGUGAGGAAUCUUCCACAAUGGACGAAAGUCUGAUGGAGCAACUCCGCGUGCAGGAUGAAGGCUUCGGUCGUAAACUGCUUUAUGAGUGAAGAAUAUGACGGUAACUCAUGAUAAAGGUCGGCGUAACUACGUGCCAGCAGCCGCGGUAAU